This is a non-coding RNA of Dermatophagoides farinae (American house dust mite), 248 nucleotides long. NCBI's taxonomy places the organism in Eukaryota, Metazoa, Arthropoda, Arachnida, Sarcoptiformes, Pyroglyphidae. The record is from RefSeq and is a predicted model, not a curated record.
UUAGGCCAUCCAUUGCCAUUUUAAAACCUUGACCUUCUUCACCUACUAAAUUCUCCACUGGUACUUUACAAUCUUCCAUGAUGACCGCUCGUGCAUGAAAUUCCUUUUGGACCAGAAGGACCUGUGCGACACAUGACUACAUAUACAUCACUAUCACCACCACCACUUAUGAAUGCUUUACUGCCGUUUACUAUAGAAAAAAUCAAUAUUUUAUUCAUCAAAUAAACGAUAAUGGUAACAAUGUUCAA